RNAcentral lists this ribosomal RNA (122 nucleotides) under Solanum lycopersicum (tomato). Lineage: Eukaryota; Viridiplantae; Streptophyta; Magnoliopsida; Solanales; Solanaceae. The record is from RNAcentral.
GUAUGCGAUCAUACUAUCACUAAUGCAUCAGAUCGCAUCAGAAAUCCGAAGUUAAGUGUGCUUGGGCGAGAGUAGUACAAGGAUUGGUGACCCCCCACAAGGAAGUCUGUGUAUUGCAUCCC